This 1009-nucleotide long non-coding RNA is filed under the name Strigops habroptila (Kakapo). RNAcentral describes it as "lncRNA (ENSSHBG00005012152.1)". The record is from RNAcentral. Lineage: Eukaryota; Metazoa; Chordata; Aves; Psittaciformes; Psittacidae.
UACUUGAGAAACCUAACUUUAAUGUAAUAGGUUGCAAAGCCAACAGCAUAUGAGUCAGGAAAUUAAAAACUAUGGCUGCUCAAGCAACAAUCUACAUUCAGCACAGGCAGAAUGUUCACACUGCCCUUUCCUACGAGCUACUACUUGCAGAUUAGUGAUUGACACCAGGACUAAGGUAUGUACUCCUUUAAAAUUCCUUUUUUUUUUUUUUCCUUUAACAGAGAGUAACUAAAACUCUGGAAUAAGUAAAUAAAACAAUUUGUAAAUGGUAUAUAUUUCAUAAACAGUAUAUAUGAAAUUAAUUUAACUGUCUGCCAGACAUUCAAUCUAUCAAACCUGGAAAAUAACUUAGAAUUUUCAAGCUCCUCAUUUCAAAUAAUGUAUUUAUAUGGAGGGGGUGAUAUAUAUUAGCUAUUUAAAGAAACCAAACAAAUGAGCAGGAGGACAGCGAAACCAAACAAAUAAACAGGAAGACAGUCAUGACAACUAAGAAUGUGUCUGUUCCAUAGAGCAUAUGGGAAAAAAACAAGGCAAGAAUAUGAAAUGUACAAAAUGGAUUUGGGAUCUAAUUUGGAAGCAACAAAUUCCUACCACUCUUUCCUUAAAAGAAAGUAGAGCAUCCAGCUCCGUGCAUUACAGCACUGCUUUGCACAUGAAGAUUGCUUUUAACUGAAGAUGUUGAAUGAUAACUACCAACAAAAAUAUUUCAUUUCCUAUAAGUCACAGACUCAGUCUUAGACCUUUUUCACUGCCAAAAUGCUUAGACAGUCUCUGAAGAGUCAUUGAAUGUUUUCACUUCUGCAUGUAUUUGUUUCCAUUCAACUAGCCAACUUUUUAUCUUUGUGAAGGCUUUACUGUCUGUGAAAAGUGCUGGUUAGGCAACAUUUAUGUUGAAGGUUUCCCCUUUAUUGGUUAUUCUGAGGUACCAGGAUUUCUCUGGAUGCUCUUGCAGACCACAGAAUGGUCCAGUGGGCAGGUGCCUCUUGCAUAGCUGGGAAAAAGCUUUCCA